RNAcentral lists this ribosomal RNA (221 nucleotides) under uncultured bacterium. Its description in RNAcentral is "partial 16S ribosomal RNA". It matches the Rfam family "Bacterial small subunit ribosomal RNA", at positions 99 to 334 of the family's 1533-position model. The record is from RNAcentral.
CGGACGGGUGAGUAACGCGUAGGAACCUAUCGCACAGUGGGGAUAACACGGGGAAACCGGUGCUAAUACCGCAUGUGGUCAGCGAUGAAGAAAGCAGCAAUGCGCUGUGUGAGGGGCCUGCGUCCGAUUAGCUAGUUGGUGGGGUAAAGGCCCACCAAGGCGACGAUCGGUAGCCGGCCUGAGAGGGCACACGGCCACACUGGCACUGAAACACGGGCCAG